Diceros bicornis minor is the source of this 102-nucleotide small nuclear RNA. Lineage: Eukaryota; Metazoa; Chordata; Mammalia; Perissodactyla; Rhinocerotidae. The record is from RefSeq and is a predicted model, not a curated record.
GUGCUCACUUUGCAGCAUUUAUACUAAAAUUGGAAUGAUAUAGAGAUUACCAUAGCCCCUGCACAGGAUGUCACACAAAUUUGUGAAGUGUUACAUAUUUUU